Molecule: long non-coding RNA, 588 nt
Filed under: Sorghum bicolor (sorghum)
Lineage: Eukaryota; Viridiplantae; Streptophyta; Magnoliopsida; Poales; Poaceae
Description: long non-coding RNA (SBIC_LNC005584)
Source: RNAcentral
ACACAACUAACUCUUGAUCACAGGAACACACAGCAGAUCGUCGAGCACACAUAGACGACAAAAGUGAAAGCUAUAGUCUGAUUGAUAGACUCGUCAUCUGAUUGCUCAUGGGAAAAAGCAAGGUUAAAUCCGGUUACGGUGUAUGGGCGGCCGUGGCAUCGUGGUUCUCUUGCUUUGGCUCUGCAAAAGCGGCUGAUGACGCCGGCCGUCCCGGUAGUGCUGGGCCGUAUGACCCAGCGCCGGUGGCCGGAAUGGUUGCAGCUGCUAAGCAUUUCUCCAAUGCGCAAUGUGUAAAGUUUGGUUGAUAACUGUGUGUUAGUGAAACUUGUGCAUAUGUAGACUAUGGUUAUUGUUUUUUCUUUUAUAUAUAUAUAUAUAUAUAGUAGAGAGUAGGAUACCCCAAUGCGCACCGUGUAAAGAUGGUUGAUAGCUGUGUGUUAGUGAAAUUUGUACAUAUGUAUAUACUAUGGUUAUUGUUUUUUCUUUUAUAUAGUAGAGAGUAGGAUACAUUUGUAAUAAGAAGAAAUGUACUGAGAUUGUUGUAUUAUUAUUUACAAGAACCAGCAAAUAAAAUUAUAUAUAUUCUCU